RNAcentral lists this ribosomal RNA (262 nucleotides) under uncultured bacterium. RNAcentral describes it as "partial 16S ribosomal RNA". It matches the Rfam family "Bacterial small subunit ribosomal RNA", at positions 793 to 1055 of the family's 1533-position model. The record is from RNAcentral.
GUCCACACCGUAAACGAUGAUUACUAGGUGUUGGAGGAUUGACCCCUUCAGUGCCGCAGUUAACACAAUAAGUAAUCCACCUGGGGAGUACGACCGCAAGGUUGAAACUCAAAGGAAUUGACGGGGGCCCGCACAAGCAGCGGAGCAUGUGGUUUAAUUCGAAGCAACGCGAAGAACCUUACCAGGUCUUGACAUCGGAUGCAUAGCCUAGAGAUAGGUGAAGCCCUUCGGGGCAUCCAGACAGGUGGUGCAUGGUUGUCGU